AUUUAAAGGGACACCAGCGUUCUUAUUGAUUGCUUUGGUUUUUCAUUAGAAAAGUGCGGUCAGCCUACUACUGCAAGGCGGAAGUGAAAUAUUUCUGGAUCUUAACUGUGUGCUGGAUGUGCUACCGAUAUGGUCUGUUUUUGCCCACUGGCUUUUCGUCAGUCUUACACCCUUUCAGAUAGACGGGACCAGUGCAUGUCUCGAGGUAACAAACUACUACCUUACAUUCCAGCAUCUCACUUUCAAGAAAACGUGUCCAAAGACUGUGGGAAUUUUGCAGCUAUCGAAAUAAUUAUGCUACUGAUUGUUGAUUAAGAGCUAGGAAUAUUACAUCUGUGUCUCGUCAUCAGGAGCAAGCGUGCGACAUUUGGAAACUCCGGCACAUCAGAAAGUGGGUGAAAAGUCGGUUGCAAAAUUCCAUCUUAACUAACAAGCAAAGCCGGCCUUCUCUA
Molecule: long non-coding RNA, 452 nt
Organism: Argiope bruennichi
Lineage: Eukaryota; Metazoa; Arthropoda; Arachnida; Araneae; Araneidae
Exons: 3
Source: RefSeq, a predicted model, not a curated record